Chinchilla lanigera (long-tailed chinchilla) is the source of this 738-nucleotide long non-coding RNA. RefSeq lists it as uncharacterized. The transcript has 3 exons. Lineage: Eukaryota; Metazoa; Chordata; Mammalia; Rodentia; Chinchillidae. The record is from RefSeq and is a predicted model, not a curated record.
UCAGCUGUGAGCCAGACCGUGCAGGGCAUGGUGGGCCGGGCCUGGCAGGGCAGUUCCCAGGGGAACAGGGAGAAGGGCUGUCAGGGAGCAGGAGCACGGUGACAGUCGCAUACCACGCCUGGCCCUUCGGGGAGCACUGCACCCUGCUAUGACUCAGCACUCACCACAGAUGCAGCAGGCCACACAGUCCAUGGCGCUCUGUUACAGCAACCUGAAGACUGAGACAGGCCAAGGCGUGGAGAGGGCCACCCAGCAGGGCCUUCUCUGAGGAAAGGAGUCCCAUAGAAGCAGGCCUGCCUUUCCUCUGGACGCGAAAGCCCAUGAAGAGAGUUCACCUACGGAACAGCAGAGGGACCCCGUACCUCCCUGCAGACAGCCAGGGGCCAAGCAAGAUGAGUAAACCUUCAGCAACCAUCCUGCGCCUGGUGUGUGGAGUGCUCGGCGCAGAGCCCGUCCAGGGCACACAUUCAGUGACUAGCAGAGGUGGUGUCUGCAUUUCAGAUGAGGAAACCGCUCCAAGCAUUCAUUUGAACCUGGGGUUCUGGUUCUGAUGAUGCUGUGUGGGGAGGCUACAGGAGUGAUGUGGCCUAAAUAUCUGAGGGCCUUGCCCUCCAAGAGAGGAUAGACAUUCCAGGGAUUCGGCCCUGAGCCCGGCCUGGGGAGCCGUGUGGGAAUGGGCAGAGCCGACCUCACUGUCUGUGAGCAUGGUGUCAAAAUGAACAGUUCGAGGAGCUGGAA